This 345-nucleotide unclassified non-coding RNA is filed under the name soil metagenome. RNAcentral describes it as "partial contains 5.8S ribosomal RNA, internal transcribed spacer 2, and large subunit ribosomal RNA". The stretch from base 1 to 120 matches the Rfam family "5.8S ribosomal RNA", at positions 35 to 154 of the family's 154-position model. The record is from RNAcentral.
GAUGAAGAACGUAGCGAAAUGCGAUACGUAAUGUGAAUUGCAGCAUUCAGUGAAUCAUCGAGUCUUUGAACGCACAUUGCGCCCCCUGGUAUUCCGGGGGGCAUGCCUGUCCGAGCGUCAUUGCUGCCCUCAAGCACGGCUUGUGUGUUGGGCCUCCGUCCUCCUCCCGGGGGACGGGCCCGAAAGGCAGCGGCGGCACCGCGUCCGGUCCUCGAGCGUAUGGGGCUUCGUCACCCGCUCUUGUAGGCCCGGCCGGCGCUUGCCGACACAUCAAUCUUUUUUCCAGGUUGACCUCGGAUCAGGUAGGGAUACCCGCUGAACUUAAGCAUAUCAAUAAGCGGAGGA